GCACAGCAUGUACUAACCAUAGCACUACUGCUUUCAACAGCACGAAGUGUGCCCCAACAGUACUGACAUACCGACUCUAUCAGCACACAGUAUGUUCUCAUUUUAUAUAUCUAAUUUCGAGAGGAAUGUUAAACAACAUACAAGCAAUCAUUCGAUGUAAUUCUGUGAAAAGAUUCCAUGUCUCCCCAUCCUCAUGCAGUUUUUGAAAACCAAUACAGGAAAGGUCCUAAAGAGUGCCCCAGGCCAAGUUGUGGAUCAUUUAUUAGGAAAAAUACGACCCUAUAUACUUGGAAGGAAUGAAGUGGUGUUGUAAAAACAGCUGGAACUCUAUUGCACAGCUUUAAUUAGACUGAUCUGGUGCUGCUUGGAUGUCUAUAAACACUGUCACUUGGGGAUUCCAAGUAUGUGGACAAAAUUUGUGAUCAAAUGUGGUGAAAACAGAUUUCACUAUCCAUGUAUUUGAUGGAAAUUUCUGUACAAGUGGGCCUCAGAUUUUACUUUGUUUGAAGUGGAACCCUCAUUUUGAUUAAGGAGGAAUGGUACACCAGAGAAAUUUGAUACGGAUGAAAAGUGGACUAGCGAUAUGUACAACAAUAUUUUGAAAUUGAAAACUUUCAAAUUUACUUUAUUUAGUCAAAAAAAUGCAGUUUUAGUAGAAAGCAAUCUGAAUUUUUUUUUUUAAAUCCCUGCUGAACUCGAACCCGUGAUCUACAGUUCAGCAGUCGAUGUGCUAACCUACUGAGCAACUCAGCUAGGCAAUGAUUUUAGAUAUGAAUAGACAAAUAUUACUGAUAUUUAUAUUUUCAUUCAUGUUUUAUAAGAAAGUCAGCCAUUAUGAUGAUGUAGAGUACCUCCUUAAGGAAUAAGAAGAGAAAUGGUUGUACAUGUAGCUGAUUUUGUUGUACACAGAGAGUACUGUAGUCAAAAGAUCAGACACCUGCAUUUUCUCAACGUGCCUACUUUUGUGCGUACUUUAACAUGGAAUUCAUUGCGUACUCCUCCAGGGAAUUCACAUAUUUUAAGGUAUUCAAUGUAUCAUGAUCAUAUUUCCUAUCUAAUAAAUGGAUGGUGUGAUUUUUGUAAUCAUAGUAUCAUUUUGAAGGGUUCAUCAAAUAAAAUAAUCCACCAUAGGAAUUUACAAAAAUUUUGAUUUUUACUUGAUUAAUGUUAAUGUUGACUGAUCACAUGAUCUAAAUAUUUUCCUGAAUGAUUUUUGUCUAAAGUUUCAUUCCUAUUGCAUUGCAUUUCAGCAAACCUUACUAAGGAGUUAAUCAAAUUUGGCACUUUGAUCAACUCCCAAUUUCCGAUUGGUUCAGUCUCCAGAAUUACCAUAGGUCAAGGUCACUGAAAAUAGGUUUUGAUAUUCAAGUUAAAAAGUUGGCAUUGGAGAAAAAUAACUUAAGUAGCCCUUAUUCGUUAGAAUUUUGGCAUAUGCUUCAAGUCUUUAAAAGACACUAAAAGAAAAAUAACCUAAAAGUAAGAGAUGUUGAUAAACAAUGGCAAUUUUCUAGAUUUCAGCAAAAUAUUUACAUGUCAUAUGUUUUUGAAUCUUUACCAUUUGUAAUGAUAGCCAUUUCCUCAGGAAUGGGAUGCAGUUGUGAACAAUGCACGUAUGAAUCUUAAUGGAGUACAUUUAUGCUAAUGGCUGGAGAUUCUGACAGAAAUGAAAACAGAAUGUAAAUAUAAAAAAUAAACUUCAGUUUAGUUUUGAAAAUACACAAGGGUAGGAAUUGCAACACUUCACCCCGACAUACAUUUCAUGAUGAACUAAUGCACUUCAUAGAGUAUGCUGGCAUGAAGCACCAUAGUUCAUGCCCUGAGGUAUUUCAACUAAUUACGUAUUUACAUUUCCAAUGUUUUUGCCUUUGAUAUCUCUGUAAAUUGUGAAGAUGGCCAUUUCCUCAUGAAUGCACUGCAGUUGUGAACAAUGCACGUAUGAAUCUUGA
Long non-coding RNA from Ostrea edulis (European flat oyster), 1946 nucleotides. RefSeq lists it as uncharacterized. The record is from RefSeq and is a predicted model, not a curated record. The transcript is spliced from 2 exons. Lineage: Eukaryota; Metazoa; Mollusca; Bivalvia; Ostreida; Ostreidae.